RNAcentral lists this ribosomal RNA (207 nucleotides) under uncultured bacterium. Its description in RNAcentral is "partial 16S ribosomal RNA". It matches the Rfam family "Bacterial small subunit ribosomal RNA", at positions 568 to 774 of the family's 1533-position model. The record is from RNAcentral.
CUCGUAGGCGGUUCAGUAAGUCGGGUGUGAAAACUUUGGGCUUAACCCAAAGCGUGCAUCCGAUACUGCUGUGACUUGAGUACGGUAGGGGAGCGGGGAAUUCCUAGUGUAGCGGUGAAAUGCGCAGAUAUUAGGAGGAACACCGGUGGCGAAGGCGCCGCUCUGGGCCGAAACUGACGCUGAGGAGCGAAAGCAUGGGUGCAAACA